Molecule: ribosomal RNA, 512 nt
Filed under: uncultured bacterium
Lineage: Bacteria
Description: partial 16S ribosomal RNA
Rfam family: Bacterial small subunit ribosomal RNA
Source: RNAcentral
GAUGAACGCUGGCGGCGUGCCUAAUACAUGCAAGUCGAACGAAACUUCUUUAUCACCGAGUGCUUGCACUCACCGAUAAAGAGUUGAGUGGCGAACGGGUGAGUAACACGUGGGCAACCUGCCCAAAAGAGGGGGAUAACACUUGGAAACAGGUGCUAAUACCGCAUAACCAUAGUUACCGCAUGGUAACUAUGUAAAAGGUGUCUAUACUACCGCUUUUGGAUGGGCCCGCGGCGCAUUAGCUAGUUGGUAGGGUAAAGGCUUACCAAGGCAAUGAUGCGUAGCCGAAUUGAGAGGUUGAUCGGCCACACUGGGACUGAGACACGGCCCAAACUCCUACGGGAGGCAGCAGUAGGGAAUCUUCCACAAUGGGCGAAAGCCUGAUGGAGCAACGCCGCGUGGGUGAAGAAGGUCUUCGGAUCGUAAAACCCUGUUGUUAGAGAAGAAAGUGCGUGAGAGUAACUGUUCACGUUUCGACGGUAUCUAACCAGAAAGCCACUGCUAACUACGUG